UUCCGUAGGUGAACCUGCGGAAGGAUCAUUACAUUCAGUAGCCUAGCUACUUGAUUACACCCUUGCCUUUAUGCGUACUUAUCGUUUCCUCGGCGGCCUUGCCCGCCGGUUGGACAACAUCUAUACCCUUUUUAAAAUCUUUCAAUCAGCGUCUGAAUUAUACAUAAUAAUUACAACUUUCAACAACGGAUCUCUUGGUUCUGGCAUCGAUGAAGAACGCAGCGAAAUGCGAUAAGUAGUGUGAAUUGCAGAAUUCAGUGAAUCAUCGAAUCUUUGAACGCACAUUGCGCCCCUUGGUAUUCCAUGGGGCAUGCCUGUUCGAGCGUCAUUUGUACCUUCAAGCUUUGCUUGGUGUUGGGCGUGUUGUCUACUUCCUCCGCGAUUAGACUCGCCUUAAAGUAAUUGGCAGCCAGUGUUUUUGGUAGUAAGCGCAGCACAUUUUGCGUCUUGGUCCCUAAACUGUGGCAUCCACAAAGCCUCUUUCUCACUUUUGACCUCGGAUCAGGUAGGGAUACCCGCUGAAC
RNAcentral lists this ribosomal RNA (524 nucleotides) under cf. Stagonospora sp. CBS 516.74. RNAcentral describes it as "eukaryotic LSU rRNA". The stretch from base 175 to 328 matches the Rfam family "5.8S ribosomal RNA". The record is from RNAcentral. Lineage: Eukaryota; Fungi; Ascomycota; Dothideomycetes; Pleosporales; Massarinaceae.